RNAcentral lists this ribosomal RNA (503 nucleotides) under uncultured bacterium. RNAcentral's name for it is "partial 16S ribosomal RNA". It matches the Rfam family "Bacterial small subunit ribosomal RNA", at positions 30 to 523 of the family's 1533-position model. The record is from RNAcentral.
AUUGAACGCUGGCGGCAGGCUUAACACAUGCAAGUCGAGCGGGGUGAUGGUGCUUGCACUAUCACUUAGCGGCGGACGGGUGAGUAAUGCUUAGGAAUCUGCCUAUUAGUGGGGGACAACAUCUCGAAAGGGAUGCUAAUAACGCAUACGUCCUACGGGAGAAAGCAGGGGAUCACUUGUGACCUUGCGCUAAUAGAUGAGCCUAAGUCGGAUUAGCUAGUUGGUGGGGUAAAGGCCUACCAAGGCGACGAUCUGUAGCGGGUAUGAGAGGAUGAUCCGCCACACUGGGACUGAGACACGGCCCAGACUCCUACGGGAGGCAGCAGUGGGGAAUAUUGGACAAUGGGGGGAACCCUGAUCCAGCCAUGCCGCGUGUGUGAAGAAGGCCUUAUGGUUGUAAAGCACUUUAAGCGAGGAGGGGGCUCUUUUGGUUAAUACCCAAGAUGAGUGGACGUUACUCGCAGAAUAAGCACCGGCUAACUCUGUGCCAGCCGCCGCGGUAA